GUUUCCGUGGCGUAGUUGGUUAUCGCGUCAGAUUUACACUCUGAAGGUCUCCGGUUCGAACCCGGACGGGAACA
Pleodorina starrii is the source of this 74-nucleotide non-coding RNA. NCBI's taxonomy places the organism in Eukaryota, Viridiplantae, Chlorophyta, Chlorophyceae, Chlamydomonadales, Volvocaceae. The record is from the annotation of a GenBank genome assembly.